This is a microRNA precursor of Oryza sativa Indica Group (long-grained rice), 204 nucleotides long. It matches the Rfam family "MIR812 microRNA precursor family". The record is from Rfam. NCBI's taxonomy places the organism in Eukaryota, Viridiplantae, Streptophyta, Magnoliopsida, Poales, Poaceae.
AAUAGAUGACGCCGUUGAUUUUUUCUCACAUAUUUGACCAUUCAUCUUAUUCAAAAAUUUUACGUAAUUAUAAUUUAUUUUAUUAUGAGUUGUUUUAUCACUCAUAGUACUUUAAGUGUGAUUUAUAUCUUAUACAAUUAUAUAAAAUUUUUGAAUAAGACGAAUGUUCAAAUAUGUGAGAAAAAGUCAACGGCGUCAUCCAUU